Long non-coding RNA from Cyphomyrmex costatus, 264 nucleotides. RefSeq lists it as uncharacterized. The transcript has 3 exons. The record is from RefSeq and is a predicted model, not a curated record. Lineage: Eukaryota; Metazoa; Arthropoda; Insecta; Hymenoptera; Formicidae.
CAUUAUUUUCCGCUCUAGUCUGUAGUAUGAGUCGCAUGCCAAGGCAGGCUUUUGCAAACGCUUCAAUGACCGCUCGCCCAGUCGCGCUGUCGCAUCUAAAAGUCGUUAUGCUCGACGUUGCGAUUAUUGCCAGUGAGAACUGAUCUCCGCAGAAAUUUAUUCCGCAGCAAGAUUUCGGCGAAAUCAUUGCGAAACAAUCAGACAAGGCUCGUUUAAAGUUAGAGUUAAUCCUCGCAGAAAUUUAUUAUGCAGCAAGACUCCGGC